GCUGUUGUUGUUGCUGCGGUUGUUGUUGACAAGUAAACGACGACCCAGAAUACAAUUUGAAUAGCAUAGCCCCAAAAGUGGGUAAAAUGCAUCGAACCGGUUGCCAGCCGCAGCAGCUGGAGCUUCUAGAUCGCUUCUUUCGGGGCAUGCCCCUGCUGCCAGAACCGUUUCCCAGAUCAAACCUCUGCCCUCUUAUAAUUGCUUUGAGUGCGAUUGUCAUUUGUCAUGGCGCAGUGACGGCGAUUAUAGGCUUUAUAAAUAAACAUGAGUUGUCGAAUCAUCAAAUAUACAGAUGUACAUAUGUAUGUACAGCUAAGUGGAGAGCAAUAAUCCAGAACGACAGCUCAUCCCCUUGCAACCGGAGUGAACCUUAAACCCCCGCCGACCCUCUUAUCGCACAGCCUCAGCCUCAGAUAUAUAUAUAUAUAUAUUUUGAUGCGUUAUGCAUAAAUCAGCAGAGCAACAGGUUUCAUCCGACUAGAAAACGAACACAAAAGAAGAGAAACUUUAUGGAGAGUUAUGAGAAGUGGAAGCCACGGGAGGAGAGAUCUCUCAUUAAAUCCCUCAUUGACUUAUCCUGAAGCGUUAAGCGUUGAAUUCAAAGGCAAACAACAGUCGCUGCAUUCGCGAUUUGCCAAUCGGCGAUCGCUUAUAGACAUUAUUCAUGUUGAUUCAUCAAUUAUUCAUGGGCUCCGUUUCGCCCUAGACAUGCCAAAUAUAGAGUCCACUUUCGAUGGCUUAUCGAGCGAAAUGUUUACCUGAUGGCGCUGCUGCUGCUGCUGCUCCAAAACUGAGUCAAAGUCAGAGGCAGAAGCAGAAGCAGGAGAACAAAGCGCAGUACCCGAUAGGCAAGUACAAGAGCCCCAACUGGCCCGUCUACUGGCUGCUGACUGCUGGCUGCUGACUGUUGACUGUUUAGAUAUGAGGAAGUCAAGACAAACCGCACAGAAUUCGACGCUAAUGAAAAACUAAGCUAGCCAUCACCCGGGGGCCAGUCGGACAGUCGGCCAGUUGGCCAUUCCGCGCACCACUACAGCCUUCUCCACAAAUAAUAAUAAAAGCCAAACAACCAGGUUUUUAGUUGCUCUACGAAAAGCGAAAAACCACAAAUAAAAGAAGCGGUUAGCGGUUAGCGGACGGACGCAAGACGGCCUCGUUAUUGAAUUUCAAGUGGUUUGGCCCAGAGCCAGAGCCCGAGCUUGAAUUGGGAAGGAGAAAGGGAAGGGGACAGGGACGGGGAUUAGGUGGGAAUGAAUCAGCUAUUACUAAACCAGCCAGACACGAGUCAAUUUAACAAUUAUAAAUUGUGUUAAAUAUGCACUGAGCGAAUGCAAAUCGAAGUACGUGAUUGGAGUAUCAAGACAAUCAGAUGUGUAUGUGUCGAGUCAACAAGGAAAACCUCAAACAGCCAAUGUGCCAUUCGGACAAGGCCAACACAAAUUAACAGCAAUUAAUGCAGCAAAGGCCAACAUUCGUUUAGGGGGCUUUUUAGACCACAAUAAAACUUAUCGCCUGCGAUGGAGAUAGGAAAAGCCCCGAUUAAACUUCAUUGAACUGCUGCACCCAGUCUCAGUCUCUUGCAAGGCCUUCGACAAGCCAAUCAAUACAGAAAUGCCAUGGAUUUGGAUUUUGCUAGAUUACACAUGCAGGUGUCUGCGCGAGCUUGUUGUUGAGAAGGCGGCCAGCACGGAAAUAGAACAAAAUCCAUUUGUAGGGCAGGAAAAAAGAGAAACAUCUAUUUUUGUAGUGCUGGAAUUCCCAGGGAAUUGUCAAUCCCAUAUUGUCUAGUGGUUAGGAUACCCGGCUCUCACCCGGGAGGCCCGGGUUCAAUUCCCGGUAUGGGAAAACCGUCAAAGGUUUCUUUUUUUUCGCUGAGCAAGGACCUUGCCAAGAGAAGCUCCUUUUGAUGUGCGGAACCUGGUCAUAAUCUUAUUUUAGGGAUAGAAAAUAGAG
This is a long non-coding RNA of Drosophila pseudoobscura, 1953 nucleotides long. RefSeq lists it as uncharacterized. The transcript has 2 exons. The record is from RefSeq and is a predicted model, not a curated record. NCBI's taxonomy places the organism in Eukaryota, Metazoa, Arthropoda, Insecta, Diptera, Drosophilidae.